This 641-nucleotide ribosomal RNA is filed under the name uncultured Bacteroidota bacterium. RNAcentral describes it as "bacterial SSU rRNA". It matches the Rfam family "Bacterial small subunit ribosomal RNA", at positions 8 to 637 of the family's 1533-position model. The record is from RNAcentral. Lineage: Bacteria; Pseudomonadati; Bacteroidota.
AGAGUUUGAUCCUGGCUCAGGAUGAACGCUAGCUACACGGCUUAACACAUGCAAGUCGAGGGGCAGCAUGGUCUUAGCUUGCUAAGGCCGAUGGCGACCGGCGCACGGGUGAGUAACGCGUAUCCAACCUGCCUUACACUCUUGGACAGCCUUCUGAAAGGGAGAUUAAUACAAGAUGUUAUCAUGAGUAAGCAUUUUCGCAUGAUUAAAGGUUUACCGGUGUAAGAUGGGGAUGCGUUCCAUUAGAUAGUAGGCGGGGUAACGGCCCACCUAGUCUUCGAUGGAUAGGGGUUCUGAGAGGAAGGUCCCCCACAUUGGAACUGAGACACGGUCCAAACUCCUACGGGAGGCAGCAGUGAGGAAUAUUGGUCAAUGGGCGAGAGCCUGAACCAGCCAAGUAGCGUGAAGGAUGACUGCCCUAUGGGUUGUAAACUUCUUUUAUAAAGGAAUAAAGUCGGGUAUGGAUACCCGUUUGCAUGUACUUUAUGAAUAAGGAUCGGCUAACUCCGUGCCAGCAGCCGCGGUAAUACGGAGGAUCCGAGCGUUAUCCGGAUUUAUUGGGUUUAAAGGGAGCGUAGAUGGAUGUUUAAGUCAGUUGUGAAAGUUUGCGGCUCAACCGUAAAAUUGCAGUUGAUACUGGA